This is a non-coding RNA of Stegodyphus mimosarum, 73 nucleotides long. NCBI's taxonomy places the organism in Eukaryota, Metazoa, Arthropoda, Arachnida, Araneae, Eresidae. The record is from Rfam.
GCCUUCGGGGUGUAGUGGUCAGCACGCUCGACGCGUAUUCGAGAGGUCCGUGGUUCAAAUCCCGGGAAGGGCA